CGCGAUGAUGAUCAGGCCUGUCUGAUUCGUGAUGAGGAUAUUGAGUUCUGAGCG
RNAcentral lists this small nucleolar RNA (54 nucleotides) under uncultured archaeon. RNAcentral describes it as "snoPyro_CD". It matches the Rfam family "Pyrococcus C/D box small nucleolar RNA". From Rfam's summary of the family: Computational screens have identified C/D box snoRNAs in a number of archaeal genomes. This family represents several related snoRNAs from Pyrococcus. The record is from RNAcentral.